GGCUCGGCAGCGGGCGUUGGGGCUGUUGUGAACGAUGAGGGAGCGUUCCCCGCGCCGCGGCGGCGCCGCGUCCCUCCCGCCCCUCGCGGCGGGGCGAGCCGCCCGGCCGGGAGCCUCUUACCCUCCUCCGACAUGGCUUGGUGGAGCGGCUGAGCGCGGGGUCCUCCUCGGGCGGCGGAGCGAGCGGGGCUCGACUACGGGCAGCUGUGGCCGGAAUGCGGCGUUGGAAACGGAAGCGGCUUCUCCGACAGAGAAGCCAUCCCCAAGAUGUCACCUGUUUUGUGGGUCCACAUUGCCAUCAUUCUUUCAUGGCCAGCCUCAGAGGUAUACAUCAUCUCGCAACCAAGAAGAACAUCUGAUUUGGCCUGGCAGGGACCCUUCAGCAGGACGGAAUUUGGGGGUCUCUUCUGCCUGAACUUGUCAUCAAAAAGUGCAGACGUGCAUGCCACCCUGAGAAAGAUGAAUGAAAUGAUCUCCAACAUCAAGCAUAAGUUAGAGGACUGGUUGAACAACAUCCUUCAAGGAUGGGGACUCAUGGGAUGGCUCUUUUCUGUUCUAAAAAUUGUCUUACAAGUUUUUUCAGUUAUUAUUGUUCUGGUUAUGUUUUGCAGUUUGAAAAAUUGUUGCUUAUCCUCAGUUAAACAGAUAACUUCUCCUGAAAUCAAUGUCACCAAAACUUCUACUUCCCAACUCUCCUCUCCCUGGUUUCACGACCUAUACCUUGAUUCUGAAUACCACCCUGAUCCCUUUUUCUGAAAAAGAAAGGGGAAGAUGUUGAGGAUUGAAUUAAUUUUAUUAAUGCAUUGUUAAACGGUUUGUUCUACUGUACCCCCAUUUUCUCCCCAAGCUGUUUCACCCUGGACUUGUACCCUCCCUCAAAGCUGUCCCUCAUGCCAUUCCCUACCCUUUGUUCCAGCUCUUUCUCUGCCUGUCAACACAGCCCCUUAUUCCUGAACCUUCCCUGCCACUCUCACCUUGGGCCAAUUUGUGACUCUAACAUUCCUUUGGAAUACCCUUAUUCCUUGAAGCCACAUUGUCCCAUGUGACCUGUCCUCGCCUCUCCUCUCCCCUACCGUGAUUGGUCCCAAACAAAUGAUGUAUUCCUCUUGCUCCUCUCCUGAAAUCUCCCCAUUGGACAACUGUUUGUAACCACCCCCGGAGUUGAAUCGGUUUAACCUGUGCACAAACGUGCUUGGGGCUCUUUCGUCCUAUACCCUUCAUCUGGAAUAAACUUUUGCCUGUGGAACCUCAA
Long non-coding RNA from Passer domesticus (house sparrow), 1252 nucleotides. RefSeq lists it as uncharacterized. The record is from RefSeq and is a predicted model, not a curated record. The transcript is spliced from 2 exons. Lineage: Eukaryota; Metazoa; Chordata; Aves; Passeriformes; Passeridae.